This 373-nucleotide ribosomal RNA is filed under the name uncultured organism. RNAcentral's name for it is "partial 16S ribosomal RNA". It matches the Rfam family "Bacterial small subunit ribosomal RNA", at positions 527 to 896 of the family's 1533-position model. The record is from RNAcentral.
GUAGGUGGCAAGCGUUGUCCGGAAUUAUUGGGCGUAAAGCGCGCGCAGGCGGUUCUUUAAGUCUGAUGUGAAAGCCCACGGGCUCAACCGUGGAGGGUUAUUGGAAACUGGAGAACUUGAGUACAGAAGAGGAAAGCGGAAUUCCACGUGUAGCGGUGAAAUGCGUAGAGAUGUGGAGGAACACCAGUGGCGAAGGCGGCUUUCUGGUCUGUAACUGACGCUGAGGCGCGAAAGCGUGGGGAGCAAACAGGAUUAGAUACCCUGGUAGUCCACGCCGUAAACGAUGAGUGCUAAGUGUUAGGGGGUUUCCGCCCCUUAGUGCUGCAGCUAACGCAUUAAGCACUCCGCCUGGGGAGUACGGCCGCAAAGGCUG